UCGAGCGAAUGGAUUAAGAGCUUGCUCUUAUGAAGUUAGCGGCGGACGGGUGAGUAACACGUGGGUAACCUGCCCAUAAGACUGGGAUAACUCCGGGAAACCGGGGCUAAUACCGGAUAACAUUUUGAACCGCAUGGUUCGAAAUUGAAAGGCGGCUUCGGCUGUCACUUAUGGAUGGACCCGCGUCGCAUUAGCUAGUUGGUGAGGUAACGGCUCACCAAGGCAACGAUGCGUAGCCGACCUGAGAGGGUGAUCGGCCACACUGGGACUGAGACACGGCCCAGACUCCUACGGGAGGCAGCAGUAGGGAAUCUUCCGCAAUGGACGAAAGUCUGACGGAGCAACGCCGCGUGAGUGAUGAAGGCUUUCGGGUCGUAAAACUCUGUUGUUAGGGAAGAACAAGUGCUAGUUGAAUAAGCUGGCACCUUGACGGUACCUAACCAGAAAGCCACGGCUAACUACGUGCCAGCAGCCGCGGUAAUACGUAGGUGGCAAGCGUUAUCCGGAAUUAUUGGGCGUAAAGCGCGCGCAGGUGGUUUCUUAAGUCUGAUGUGAAAGCCCACGGCUCAACCGUGGAGGGUCAUUGGAAACUGGGAGACUUGAGUGCAGAAGAGGAGAGUGGAAUUCCAUGUGUAGCGGUGAAAUGCGUAGAGAUAUGGAGGAACACCAGUGGCGAAGGCGACUUUCUGGUCUGUAACUGACACUGAGGCGCGAAAGCGUGGGGAGCAAAACAGGAUUAGAU
RNAcentral lists this ribosomal RNA (742 nucleotides) under Streptomyces sp. CFR4. RNAcentral's name for it is "bacterial SSU rRNA". It matches the Rfam family "Bacterial small subunit ribosomal RNA", at positions 62 to 783 of the family's 1533-position model. Lineage: Bacteria; Bacillati; Actinomycetota; Actinomycetes; Kitasatosporales; Streptomycetaceae. The record is from RNAcentral.